This 28-nucleotide non-coding RNA is filed under the name Mus musculus (house mouse). The record is from RNAcentral. Lineage: Eukaryota; Metazoa; Chordata; Mammalia; Rodentia; Muridae.
GAAGGAAGUUUAGGUUGACUGCCUCAUC